GAUGAACGCUGGCGGCGUGCCUAAUACAUGCAAGUAGAACGCUGAAGGAAGGAGCUUGCUCUUUCCGGAUGAGUUGCGAGCGGGUGAGUAACGCGUAGGUAACCUGCCUGGUAGCGGGGGAUAACUAUUGGAAACGAUAGCUAAUACCGCAUAACAGUAGAUGUUGCAUGAUAUCUACUUAAAAGGUGCAAUUGCACCACUACCAGAUGGACCUGCGUUGUAUUAGCUAGUUGGUGAGGUAACGGCUCACCAAGGCGACGAUACAUAGCCGACCUGAGAGGGUGAUCGGCCACACUGGGACUGAGACACGGCCCAGACUCCUACGGGAGGCAGCAGUAGGGAAUCUUCGGCAAUGGAAGGAAGUCUGACCGAGCAACGCCGCGUGAGUGAAGAAGGUUUUCGGAUCGUAAAGCUCUGUUGUAAGAGAAGAACGAGUGUGAGAGUGGAAAGUUCACACUGUGACGGUAUCUUACCAGAAAGGGACGGCUAACUACGUG
RNAcentral lists this ribosomal RNA (497 nucleotides) under uncultured bacterium. RNAcentral's name for it is "partial 16S ribosomal RNA". It matches the Rfam family "Bacterial small subunit ribosomal RNA", at positions 28 to 507 of the family's 1533-position model. The record is from RNAcentral.